Non-coding RNA from Arachis ipaensis, 532 nucleotides. Lineage: Eukaryota; Viridiplantae; Streptophyta; Magnoliopsida; Fabales; Fabaceae. The record is from RefSeq and is a predicted model, not a curated record.
UCGCUAAGUAAAAGCUUUCUAUUCUACCAUGAAGAAUGAUUGAUAUAUAUUAUUACUUAGUAGCAAAAAGCUCUCGCUACGUUCCUUCACUCUCUUCAUCUAUCUCAAAGCUAUUCAUGAAACCAAAAGAAGCCUUCACUAAAGAUGAUGAUGAUGGCUAUAAAACUAAGAACUGAAUUUGGACCACAAUGUUCCCCUGCAGAAGCAGAAGCUUCAUACUAAGCAGCAUGGUGCUAUCUUACCUGAGCUUUUUAAUUUACAUUAUAAUAAUUUCUAAAUAAUUAUAAUAAUCCCCACCCUAGCUACAAAUGUUGUUGUUCAUUUUUAUUUUCUUGACCUUGUAAGACCUUUUUCUUGACCUUGUAAGACCUAAAACCCUGUGUGUUCUCCUUCUUUUUGCUUCCAUGGAAGACACUAUGCCAAAACUUAUUGAAAUAGUGUUUAAUCUCUUCCUUUCCCCAUUGCCACCUAACUCUUCUUCUCCUUCCUUGUCUAUCCCUCCUGAGCUUUGCCAAUUUUAUUUGGCCUGCAU